UACAGAGGUCCCGAGCGUUGUUCGGAUUCACUGGGCGUAAAGGGUGCGUAGGUGGCGGGGUAAGUUUGAUGUGAAAUCUCCAAGCUUAACUUGGAAACUGCAUUGAAUACUAUCCCGCUCGAGGUUUGGAGGGGGGACUGGAAUUCUCGGUGUAGCAGUGAAAUGCGUAGAUAUCGUCUGGAACGCCAAAGGUGAAAACAGACUGCUGGGGCUGUGCUGACGCUGAGACACGAAAGCCAGGGGAGCGAACGGG
Molecule: ribosomal RNA, 253 nt
Filed under: uncultured bacterium
Lineage: Bacteria
Description: partial 16S ribosomal RNA
Rfam family: Bacterial small subunit ribosomal RNA
Source: RNAcentral